RNAcentral lists this ribosomal RNA (650 nucleotides) under uncultured bacterium. RNAcentral's name for it is "partial 16S ribosomal RNA". It matches the Rfam family "Bacterial small subunit ribosomal RNA", at positions 803 to 1451 of the family's 1533-position model. The record is from RNAcentral.
UNAACGAUGAGUGCUAGGUGUUGANUCCUUUCCGGGAUUCAGUGCCGCAGCUAACGCAUUAANCACUCCGCCUGGGGAGUACGACCGCAAGGUUGAAACUCAAAGGAAUUGACGGGGGCCCGNNNNAANCGGNGGANCANNUGNUUUAAUUNGAAGCAACGCGAAGAACCUUACCAGGUCUUGACAUCCCGAUGCUAUUUNUAGNNNAUAGNAAGUUANUUCGGUACNUCGGNNACAGGUGGUGCAUGGUUGUCGUCAGCUCGUGUCGUGAGAUGUUGGGUUAAGUCCCGCAACGAGCGCAACCCCUAUUGUUAGUUGCCAUCAUUCAGUUGGGCACUCUAGCAAGACUGCCGGUAAUAAACCGGAGGAAGGUGGGGAUGACGUCAAAUCAUCAUGCCCCUUAUGACCUGGGCUACACACGUGCUACAAUGGUUGGUACAACGAGUUGCGAGUCGGUGACGGCGAGCUAAUCUCUUAAAGCCAAUCUCAGUUCGGAUUGUAGGCUGCAACUCGCCUACAUGAAGUCGGAAUCGCUAGUAAUCGCGGAUCAGCACGCCGCGGUGAGUACGUUCCCGGGCCUUGUACACACCGCCCGUCACACCACGAGAGUUUGUAACACCCGAAGUCGGUGAGGUAACCUUANGGAGCCA